AAGCCUCUAGAUAGAAAAUAGGUGCCCGUACCGCAAACCGACACAGGUAGUCAAGAUGAGAAUUCUAAGGUGAGCGAGCGAACUCUCGUUAAGGAACUCGGCAAAAUGACCCCGUAACUUCGGGAGAAGGGGUGCUCUUUAGGGUUAACGCCCAGAAGAGCCGCAGUGAAUAGGCCCAAGCGACUGUUUAUCAAAAACACAGGUCUCUGCUAAACCGUAAGGUGAUGUAUAGGGGCUGACGCCUGCCCGGUGCUGGAAGGUUAAGAGGAGUGGUUAGCUUCUGCGAAGCUACGAAUCGAAGCCCCAGUAAACGGCGGCCGUAACUAUAACGGUCCUAAGGUAGCGAAAUUCCUUGUCGGGUAAGUUCCGACCCGCACGAAAGGCGUAACGAUUUGGGCACUGUCUCAACGAGAGACUCGGUGAAAUCAUAGUACCUGUGAAGAUGCAGGUUACCCGCGACAGGACGGAAAGACCCCGUGGAGCUUUACUGUAGCCUGAUAUUGAAAUUCGGCACAGCUUGUACAGGAUAGGUAGGAGCCUUUGAAACGUGAGCGCUAGCUUACGUGGAGGCGCUGGUGGGAUACUACCCUAGCUGUGUUGGCUUUCUAACCCGCACCACUUAU
Molecule: ribosomal RNA, 623 nt
Filed under: Staphylococcus aureus
Lineage: Bacteria; Bacillati; Bacillota; Bacilli; Caryophanales; Staphylococcaceae
Description: partial 23S ribosomal RNA
Rfam family: Bacterial large subunit ribosomal RNA
Source: RNAcentral